AUGAACCAUAACAAUGUUUAAAAUACAUGAUUAUUGUGAACUAACAAUUAAGGAAGAGUCACAUCCCUGAGUUAUGAAGAUUCACAAAGAGAAUUUGAUCCUUAAACACCUAGAUGAACACCUUGAAGAAAUCCUAGACCAAUCUUCUUGAGUAGUUUUUAGAGAGUGUUUCAAUCUUCUAAAAUGUAGAAUAACUGCCUAAUAAGUGUUAUAAGACGUGGGGUCUUAAGGGCUUGGGGUAGAAUGUCCAAAAUC
RNAcentral lists this long non-coding RNA (255 nucleotides) under Capsicum annuum. RNAcentral describes it as "long non-coding RNA (CANN_LNC012365)". Lineage: Eukaryota; Viridiplantae; Streptophyta; Magnoliopsida; Solanales; Solanaceae. The record is from RNAcentral.